UACGAAGGGGGCAAGCGUUGUUCGGAAUUACUGGGCGUAAAGGGCUCGUAGGUGGCCAACUAAGUCAGACGUGAAAUCCCCAGGCUUAACCUGGGAACUGCGUCUGAUACUGGAUGGCUUGAAUUCGGGAGAGGGAUGCAGAAUUCCAGGUGUAGCGGUGAAAUGCGUAGAUAUCUGGAGGAAUACCGGUGGCGAAGGCGGCAUCCUGGACCGAGAUUGACACUGAGGAGCGAAAGCUAGGGGAGCAAACGGG
Molecule: ribosomal RNA, 253 nt
Filed under: uncultured bacterium
Lineage: Bacteria
Description: partial 16S ribosomal RNA
Rfam family: Bacterial small subunit ribosomal RNA
Source: RNAcentral